RNAcentral lists this transfer RNA (74 nucleotides) under Butyricimonas synergistica. Its description in RNAcentral is "tRNA-Ala". It matches the Rfam family "tRNA". From Rfam's summary of the family: Transfer RNA (tRNA) molecules are approximately 80 nucleotides in length. Their secondary structure includes four short double-helical elements and three loops (D, anti-codon, and T loops). RNAcentral also lists the same sequence under 10 other names. Lineage: Bacteria; Pseudomonadati; Bacteroidota; Bacteroidia; Bacteroidales; Odoribacteraceae. The record is from RNAcentral.
GGGGGAUUAGCUCAGUUGGCUAGAGCGCCUGAUUUGCAUUCAGGAGGUCAAGGGUUCGACUCCCUUAUUCUCCA